Molecule: ribosomal RNA, 292 nt
Filed under: uncultured bacterium
Lineage: Bacteria
Description: partial 16S ribosomal RNA
Rfam family: Bacterial small subunit ribosomal RNA
Source: RNAcentral
GUGUCAGCAGCCGCGGUAAUACGUAGGUUGCGAGCGUUGUCCGGAUUUACUGGGCGUAAAGCGCGCGCAGGCGGUCCUGAAAGUCGAAUGUGAAAGCUCCUGGCCCAACUGGGAGAGGCCGUUCGAAACUUCGGGACUUGAAGGCGGGAGAGGCAGAUGGAAUUUCCGGUGUAGCGGUAAAAUGCGUAGAUACCGGAAGGAACACCAGUGGCGAAAGCGAUCUGCUGGCCCGCCCUUGACGCUCAGGCGCGAAAGCUAGGGGAGCGACCGGGAUUAGAAACCCUGGUAGUCC